This 1147-nucleotide ribosomal RNA is filed under the name uncultured archaeon. RNAcentral's name for it is "bacterial SSU rRNA". It matches the Rfam family "Archaeal small subunit ribosomal RNA", at positions 82 to 1229 of the family's 1478-position model. The record is from RNAcentral.
CAGACGGCUCAGUAACACGUAGCCAACCUACCCUAUGGACGGGGAUAACCUCGGGAAACUGAGGAUAAACCCCGAUAGAUCAUUAUACCUGGAACGGUUUAUGGUCCAAAUGAUUCGUCGCCGUAGGAUGGGACUGCGGCCUAUCAGCUUGUUGGUGAGGUAAUGGCCCACCAAGGCUAUUACAGGUACGGGCUCUGAGAGGAGAAGCCCGGAGAUGGGUACUGAGACACGGACCCAGGCCCUAUGGGGCGCAGCAGGCGAGAAAACUUUGCAAUGUGCGCAAGCACGACAAGGUUAAUCCGAGUGUUUCCUGCUAAAGGAAUCUUUUGCUAGUCCUAAAAACACUAGCGAAUAAGGGGUGGGCAAGUUCUGGUGUCAGCCGCCGCGGUAAAACCAGCACCUCAAGUGGUCAGGAGGAUUAUUGGGCCUAAAGCAUCCGUAGCCUGCUCUGUAAGUUUCCGGUUAAAUCCAUUAGCUUAACUGAUGGGCCGCCGGAAAAACUGCAAAGCUAGGGAGUGGGAGAGGUAGACGGUACUCGGUAGGAAGGGGUAAAAUCCUUUGAUCUAUUGAUGACCACCUGUGGCGAAGGCGGUCUACCAGAACACGUUCGACGGUGAGGGAUGAAAGCUGGGGGAGCAAACCGGAUUAGAUACCCGGGUAGUCCCAGCUGUAAACGAUGCAGACUCGGUGAUGCCCUGGCUUGUGGCCAGUGCAGUGCCGCAGGGAAGCCGUUAAGUUUGCCGCCUGGGAAGUACGUACGCAAGUAUGAAACUUAAAGGAAUUGGCGGGGGAGCACCGCAAGGGGUGAAGCCUGCGGUUCAAUUGGAGUCAACGCCAGAAAUCUUACCCGAGGAGACAGCAGAAUGAAGGUCAAGCUGGAGACUUUACCAGACAAGCUGAGAAGUGGUGCAUGGCCGUCGCCAGCUCGUGCCGUGAGAUGUCCUGUUAAGUCAGGUAACGAGCGAGAUCCCUGCCUCUAGUUGCCACCAUUACUCUCAGGAGUAGUGGGGCGAAUUAGCGGGACCGCCACAGUUAAUGUGGAGGAAGGAAGGGGCCACGGCAGGUCAGUAUGCCCUGAAACCUUGGGGCCACACGCGGGCUGCAAUGAUAGUGACAGUGAGUUCCUAACCGAGAGGUGGAGGCAAUC